AGGGUAUCCUGUUGGAGAUCCUUGCGUACCUUGGGCCUUCAUGAGGUUGCUUUUACAAAAUCCCUGGGUUUCCAUUGAAGCUGGGGACUUGUUUCCAGUGCGAUCCUGGAGUGCUUGAGUAACAGUUCUUACAAAAGAUAUUUCACCAGACUAGUGCCAUUUCAUUCUAAUUCAUUGGUCACUUGGUUUGCUGUUGACCAUCAACCAUCACUGUUAGUUGUGAAGAUCUGAGCCUCAGAAGAGGAGUUCUUAUAAAAUAUCACUGAAAUCCGUUUCAAGUAGUUUGGAUGACAGGAUCCACAUCUGAAUGUGACAGUGAUGUGUUACCAGUGUUUUUCAGUACCAGAUUUACCUGAUCUUGCAAAAGAAGAUGCAAGAGUAUAGUCAUACUAUAUGUCUCUAUAGUCAUAGAACAUGACAUACUGAACCUCCUGCAUUAAAACAAGACCUUUUUAAGAUUGUGUCUUAUGUGAAUUUGUGACUUCAUUAUUCUGUAUGUCAGUAACUUAUUGAUAGUUUUAAAACUUGGCUUUGGUAAGGGUCAGAAAUGAGAUGGAGUUCUGCCUGCACAGAACUUUCCAGCAUCACCAUAAGAAACAUGGAUGUUUGAUAAAAGCAUGAAAGUAUCUGCUUUUCUUGUGAAGAACUGUUAAAGGGCAGUGAUCAUCACACAUGAGCCUAGCUGAAAACUGAGAAAAGUAGCAUGAGGUUAAUGUCCAUUUUAAGGUACGUAAUUGAUCAAUCUCCUAUUUUAUACUGCUGACAAUCAACAGAGGAGUAUAGGGUGGUUAUCAAAAUGUGGAUUUAAACCUUUUAGUUGGAACCUUGACCAUUGCCUACUUCUGAUACUCGUUCUUUGUGUUAACAGUAACUC
This is a long non-coding RNA of Numida meleagris (helmeted guineafowl), 874 nucleotides long. RefSeq lists it as uncharacterized. The record is from RefSeq and is a predicted model, not a curated record. The transcript is spliced from 4 exons. NCBI's taxonomy places the organism in Eukaryota, Metazoa, Chordata, Aves, Galliformes, Numididae.